This 85-nucleotide transfer RNA is filed under the name Felis catus (domestic cat). It matches the Rfam family "tRNA". From Rfam's summary of the family: Transfer RNA (tRNA) molecules are approximately 80 nucleotides in length. The record is from Rfam by way of RNAcentral. Lineage: Eukaryota; Metazoa; Chordata; Mammalia; Carnivora; Felidae.
GCCUGAGUGGCUCAGUCAGUUAGGCAUCUGACUUUGGCUCAGGUCAUGAUCUCAUGGUCCGUGGGUUCGAGCCCCACAUCAGGCU